This 429-nucleotide ribosomal RNA is filed under the name bacterium. RNAcentral describes it as "partial 16S ribosomal RNA". It matches the Rfam family "Bacterial small subunit ribosomal RNA", at positions 355 to 776 of the family's 1533-position model. The record is from RNAcentral.
UAGGGAAUCUUCGGCAAUGGGGGCAACCCUGACCGAGCAACGCCGCGUGAGUGAAGAAGGUUUUCGGAUCGUAAAGCUCUGUUGUAAGAGAAGAACGUGUGUGAGAGUGGAUAGUUCACACAGUGACGGUAACUUACCAGAAAGGGACGGCUAACUACGUGCCAGCAGCCGCGGUAAUACGUAGGUCCCGAGCGUUGUCCGGAUUUAUUGGGCGUAAAGCGAGCGCAGGCGGUUUAAUAAGUCUGAAGUUAAAGGCAGUGGCUUAACCAUUGUUCGCUUUGGAAACUGUUAAACUUGAGUGCAGAAGGGGAGAGUGGAAUUCCAUGUGUAGCGGUGAAAUGCGUAGAUAUAUGGAGGAACACCGGUGGCGAAAGCGGCUCUCUGGUCUGUAACUGACGCUGAGGCUCGAAAGCGUGGGGAGCAAACAGG